GGCAUUACGGGAUCGUUAAAACACGGCCAAUUUGACAUGUUUGAGAUUUUUUUUUCCUUUUGAUAAUAAACUCCAUGCUCAACAAAUCGAAAUAAAUCUAUUUCAGACCCUAAUGGCAAGUAGGAAACUGAAAAAAAAGAUAAACUUCCAAAUUGGCGCCAAAAAAAAAAUCCGCGAAAUUAACGCAAUUUCAGAAUGGCGGGUUUUAAUAUCAGUCCCAUUGUUGUCUUAAGAAAGUAGCAACAACGGUCGUUUCUAAGGGCUUGC
Molecule: long non-coding RNA, 267 nt
Filed under: Mytilus galloprovincialis (Mediterranean mussel)
Lineage: Eukaryota; Metazoa; Mollusca; Bivalvia; Mytilida; Mytilidae
Source: RNAcentral